RNAcentral lists this long non-coding RNA (382 nucleotides) under Helianthus annuus (common sunflower). RNAcentral's name for it is "sRNA HanXRQr2_Chr10g0418411". The record is from RNAcentral. Lineage: Eukaryota; Viridiplantae; Streptophyta; Magnoliopsida; Asterales; Asteraceae.
UUAUAAGUAAAACGUAGGUGUAUGAAUAUGAAUUUAAGUAUCACGUAAAUGUAUAAUUGUGAGUGUGUGUAUAAACGUAAAACGUAUGAGUUUUGAAUCGUGAGUAUAACAUAAAUGCGUAAGUGUGAACAUAAGUGAAAGCAUAAAAUGUAUAAGUAUGGACGUAGGGAUUAAUGAUUUUGUUUAUAAUAUAAAAUUAAAAUACAUGAGUUUAUGCGCAUAAAAGGUUUAAAGUUUUGAAUAUGAAAGGAAAAAGAGAACGAGUGACACGCGUGAGAUUGUUGUGAGUAUACUUGACCCAUUUUCUUUUUACACGUUUGGGUGUAGUAUGCAUUUCCUUAUCAAAAACACAAUGAUAAACACUUUCAUUGCACAAUCUAUC